RNAcentral lists this ribosomal RNA (403 nucleotides) under uncultured bacterium. RNAcentral's name for it is "bacterial SSU rRNA". It matches the Rfam family "Bacterial small subunit ribosomal RNA", at positions 355 to 774 of the family's 1533-position model. The record is from RNAcentral. RNAcentral also lists the same sequence under 1 other name.
UGGGGAAUAUUGCGCAAUGGGGGCAACCCUGACGCAGCAAUACCGCGUGAGUGAAGAAGGUUUUCGGAUCGUAAAGCUCUGUUAUUGGGGAAGAAAAAAGACGGUACCCAAGAAGAAAGUCCCGGCUAACUACGUGCCAGCAGCCGCGGUAAUACGUAGGGGACAAGCGUUGUCCGGAUUUACUGGGCGUAAAGGGCACGCAGGCGGUUUUUUAAGUCAGAUGUGAAAGGUACCGGCUCAACCGGUGACAUGCAUUUGAAACUGAAAGACUUGAGUAUUGGAGAGGCAAGUGGAAUUCCUAGUGUAGCGGUGAAAUGCGUAGAUAUUAGGAGGAACACCGGUGGCGAAGGCGGCUUGCUGGACAAAUACUGACGCUGAGGUGCGAAAGCGUGGGGAGCAAACA